AACGAACGCUGGCGGCAUGCCUAACACAUGCAAGUCGAACGAGACCUUCGGGUCUAGUGGCGCACGGGUGCGUAACGCGUGGGAAUCUGCCCCUGGGUUCGGAAUAACAGUUAGAAAUGACUGCUAAUACCGGAUAAUGUCUUCGGACCAAAGAUUUAUCGCCCAGGGAUGAGCCCGCGUAGGAUUAGCUAGUUGGUGAGGUAAAGGCUCACCAAGGCGACGAUCCUUAGCUGGUCUGAGAGGAUGAUCAGCCACACUGGGACUGAGACACGGCCCAGACUCCUACGGGAGGCAGCAGUGGGGAAUAUUGGACAAUGGGCGGAAAGCCUGAUCCAGCAAUGCCGCGUGAGUGAUGAAGGCCUUAGGGUUGGUAAAGACUCUUUUACCCGGGUAC
This 394-nucleotide ribosomal RNA is filed under the name uncultured bacterium. RNAcentral's name for it is "bacterial SSU rRNA". It matches the Rfam family "Bacterial small subunit ribosomal RNA", at positions 29 to 447 of the family's 1533-position model. The record is from RNAcentral.